AAAGAUUUAAGAUGGAUAGGGAUAGCUAGACAGGAGUACACAUAUGAAGAUCAAGGAUGGACUAUAGAAGAAAAUGAACACAAAUAUUUUCAACUCUGUCAAAGAUGUUUGAAAAACGGGAGUUGUUAUUUUUCUCAAUGUAAUAGCACGAUAAAGACCAAAGUAGAUUGUUCAAACAAAAUGACGACAGAAAUAACUCAUGCGGGAAAUGUUUCGAUGAGUAAGGAACGAACAACAUCUUUAACUAUAACAACGCAUUUCAUGGAAAACCACACAGCAACCCCAAAAACAUCAGUGCUAACAGCAGCAGAAACAAAUCCUCAAGAGACGACAUUCAAUGAAAGGACCAGUACAAUACUUCAGGAACAGACAUUUUCAGAGAGCUCAGGAAGACCGAACAAUGAGCAACAUUUGAUUGAUGACGAUGGUACUGUGAGCAGUUUGAUUCCUAUCAUUCUAGGAAUUGUGUUACCGGCAUCCGCGAUUAUAUUGCUAAUAAUAUAUA
Molecule: long non-coding RNA, 505 nt
Organism: Saccostrea cuccullata (small rock oyster)
Lineage: Eukaryota; Metazoa; Mollusca; Bivalvia; Ostreida; Ostreidae
Exons: 3
Source: RefSeq, a predicted model, not a curated record